Molecule: ribosomal RNA, 1353 nt
Filed under: Triticum aestivum (bread wheat)
Lineage: Eukaryota; Viridiplantae; Streptophyta; Magnoliopsida; Poales; Poaceae
Description: partial small subunit ribosomal RNA
Source: RNAcentral
AUGAGCCACCUCCAACGCGGCGAGGGUGGCGCCGGCCGCCGCUGCACAGCGCGCCUCCGUUACCAGAUCCAUGCGAGCGACGAGGGAUCCGGACCGGCUCGCUCACGCACCACGCGCCUCCAUCCCCAAAUCAAACACGACGAGGAUGGCGCCGGAGUGGCCUGCAACCGCCGCAGCCGUAAGCGCCACCAUCGGCGCGGUAAGCGCCUCCGCGCCCGGACCCACGCUAGCGAGGAGGGCGACGGCACCUCGCGGGAGACACCUGCCUCCCUGCCGGACAGCGAAGAUAUGCUCCGGGAGAUCCUCCUCCGGCUCCCCCUGGACCUAUACUCUCUCCCCCGCGCCUCCGCCGUGUGCAAGCAGUGGCGAGGCAUCCUCGCCGACCCCAAGUUCCUCCGCCGGUUCUACGCGCACCACCGCAAGCCGCCCCUCCUUGGCUUCUUCCAUUACGGCAGCACACAGAUUGCGUUCAUGCCCGUCCUGGCCCCUGCUCCCGACCGCAUCACCCCUGGGCGCUUCUCCCUUGGACACUAUAGCAAAUGCAUCCUGCUUGAUUCUCGCCACGGCCGCGCCCUCGUCUUAGACUUGCAGCAUGAAGAGGUCGUCGUUUGUGACCCUAUCACCAACAAACAUCACCGCGUGCCCAUUCCGCCUGAGUUCACCGAAUGCUUCUUUAACGCGGCAGUGCUUUGUGCUGCUAGCUACCAGGGCCAUGUGCACGGCGGCUGCCACUUAUGCCCCUUCAAGGUGGUCUUGGUGUCCUAUAGAGACAAUACGCACCCCUAUGCAAGCGUUUACUCCUCGGAGACUACCACAUGGGGCAAUGUCAUCUCAACUGAGGCUUCAGAUGAUACUGUAUUUGGUGCUUGUCGUAGCACCCUUGUAGAUAAUGUCCUUUACUGGCCAGCUAAGGAAAAGGGAGACGACAUAGUUGAGUUUGAUUUGGGCACGCAGAACCUUAGCGUUAUCAAGGGUCCUCAAGGUAUGAAUAUGAAUGAUUUCGACAACUUUCAUAUCAUUGACGCAGAGGAUGGCGUUGUUGGUCUUGUCGCCUUGUCUCGCCUUGACCUUCAAAUGUGGCGGAGGAAGGUCAAUUGUCGGGGUGUUGCCAUAUGGUUGCUGUGGAAGACUGUUUCAUUGCGUGAACUUCUUAAGAUCCCUCCUUGGACUAUGAGAAGGAUUGAACCGCUCAAAAUGGUGGGUUAUGAUGAGGAUACCGAUGUAAUCUUUUUAGAGAGGCACGAUAGUGUGUAUAUGGUUCAGCCAAAGUCAAUGCAAGCCAGGAAACUUAAUGGCAUCAGCUCUACAUAUUACUGCUAUACUUUAGCGAGUAUCUGUCCACUAGGUGAUUGA